UGAGGUUUGCUCGCGAGCAUGCGGAGUG
RNAcentral lists this small RNA (28 nucleotides) under Bombyx mori (domestic silkworm). Its description in RNAcentral is "ovarian small RNA-32239". Lineage: Eukaryota; Metazoa; Arthropoda; Insecta; Lepidoptera; Bombycidae. The record is from RNAcentral.